This 265-nucleotide ribosomal RNA is filed under the name uncultured Oscillospiraceae bacterium. RNAcentral's name for it is "partial 16S ribosomal RNA". It matches the Rfam family "Bacterial small subunit ribosomal RNA", at positions 75 to 339 of the family's 1533-position model. Lineage: Bacteria; Bacillati; Bacillota; Clostridia; Eubacteriales; Oscillospiraceae. The record is from RNAcentral.
CCAAAUGAUAGGAAUGCUUAGUGGCGGACUGGUGAGUAACGCGUGAGGAACCUACCUUCCAGAGGGGGACAACAGUUGGAAACGACUGCUAAUACCGCAUGACGCAUGACCGGGGCAUCCCGGGCAUGUCAAAGAUUUUAUCGCUGGAAGAUGGCCUCGCGUCUGAUUAGCUAGAUGGUGGGGUAACGGCCCACCAUGGCGACGAUCAGUAGCCGGACUGAGAGGUUGACCGGCCACAUUGGGACUGAGAUACGGCCCAGACUCC